RNAcentral lists this transfer RNA (88 nucleotides) under Patescibacteria group bacterium. RNAcentral describes it as "tRNA-Tyr". It matches the Rfam family "tRNA". From Rfam's summary of the family: Transfer RNA (tRNA) molecules are approximately 80 nucleotides in length. Their secondary structure includes four short double-helical elements and three loops (D, anti-codon, and T loops). The record is from RNAcentral.
GCCGAGGUGGCAGAGUAGUCAAAUGCAUCAGUCUGUAAAACUGACGGCCGACAGGCCUACCCAGGUGCAAAUCCUGGCCUCGGCACCA